CAGCAGCCGCGGUAAUUCGUAGGUGGCAAGCGUUGUCCGGAAUUAUUGGGCGUAAAGGGCUCGCAGGCGGUUUCUUAAGUCUGAUGUGAAAGCCCCCGGCUCAACCGGGGAGGGUCAUUGGAAACUGGGAAACUUGAGUGCAGAAGAGGAGAGUGGUAUUCCACGUGUAGCGGUGAAAUGCGUAGAGAUGUGGAGGAACACCAGUGGCGAAGGCGACUCUCUGGUCUGUAACCGACGCUGAGGAGCGAAAGCGUGGGGAGCGAACAGGAUUAGAUACCCCCGUAGUCCCUGUCUCUUAUAC
Molecule: ribosomal RNA, 301 nt
Filed under: uncultured bacterium
Lineage: Bacteria
Description: partial 16S ribosomal RNA
Rfam family: Bacterial small subunit ribosomal RNA
Source: RNAcentral